GGGGAAUAUUGCACAAUGGGGGAAACCCUGAUGCAGCGACGCCGCGUGAGUGAAGAAGUAUUUCGGUAUGUAAAGCUCUAUCAGCAGGGAAGAAAAUGACGGUACCUGACUAAGAAGCCCCGGCUAACUACGUGCCAGCAGCCGCGGUAAUA
RNAcentral lists this ribosomal RNA (152 nucleotides) under uncultured Bacillota bacterium. RNAcentral describes it as "uncultured Firmicutes bacterium partial 16S ribosomal RNA". It matches the Rfam family "Bacterial small subunit ribosomal RNA", at positions 356 to 525 of the family's 1533-position model. The record is from RNAcentral. Lineage: Bacteria; Bacillati; Bacillota.